Molecule: transfer RNA, 79 nt
Filed under: Anneissia japonica
Lineage: Eukaryota; Metazoa; Echinodermata; Crinoidea; Comatulida; Comatulidae
Description: tRNA-Ser
Rfam family: tRNA
About the family: Transfer RNA (tRNA) molecules are approximately 80 nucleotides in length. Their secondary structure includes four short double-helical elements and three loops (D, anti-codon, and T loops). Further hydrogen bonds mediate the characteristic L-shaped molecular structure. tRNAs have two regions of fundamental functional importance: the anti-codon, which is responsible for specific mRNA codon recognition, and the 3' end, to which the tRNAs corresponding amino acid is attached (by aminoacyl-tRNA synthetases). tRNAs cope with the degeneracy of the genetic code in two manners: having more than one tRNA (with a specific anti-codon) for a particular amino acid; and 'wobble' base-pairing, i.e. permitting non-standard base-pairing at the 3rd anti-codon position.
Source: RNAcentral
GCUGUGAUGGCCGAGUGGUUAAGGCGUUGGACUCGAAAUCCAAUGGGAUCUUCCCACGCAGGUUCGAACGCUCGCAGCA